RNAcentral lists this transfer RNA (69 nucleotides) under Pseudomyrmex pallidus. RNAcentral describes it as "tRNA-Ser". The record is from RNAcentral. Lineage: Eukaryota; Metazoa; Arthropoda; Insecta; Hymenoptera; Formicidae.
AGUUAAUGACCUUGAACAAGUUUAUGUCUUGAAAACAUAAGAAAGAAAGAAAAAACUUUCUAUUAACUU